UGGGGAAUAUUGCACAAUGGGCGCAAGCCUGAUGCAGCCAUGCCGCGUGUGUGAAGAAGGCCUUCGGGUUGUAAAGCACUUUCAGCGGGGAGGAAGGCGGUGAGGUUAAUAACCUCAUCGAUUGACGUUACCCGCAGAAGAAGCACCGGCUAACUCCGUGCCAGCAGCCGCGGUAAUACGGAGGGUGCAAGCGUUAAUCGGAAUUACUGGGCGUAAAGCGCACGCAGGCGGUCUGUCAAGUCGGAUGUGAAAUCCCCGGGCUCAACCUGGGAACUGCAUUCGAAACUGGCGGGCUUGAGUCUUGUAGAUGGGGGUAGAAUUCCAGGUGUAGCGGUGAAAUGCGUAGAGAUCUGGGGGAAUACCGGUGGCGAAGGCGGCCCCCUGGACAAACACUGACGCUCAGGUGCGAAAGCGUGGGGAGCAAACAGG
This 429-nucleotide ribosomal RNA is filed under the name Chloroflexota bacterium. RNAcentral's name for it is "Chloroflexi bacterium partial 16S ribosomal RNA". It matches the Rfam family "Bacterial small subunit ribosomal RNA", at positions 355 to 776 of the family's 1533-position model. Lineage: Bacteria; Bacillati; Chloroflexota. The record is from RNAcentral.